GACGAACGCUGGCGGCGUGCUUAACACAUGCAAGUCGAACGGAAAGGCCCUGCUUGCAGGGUACUCGAGUGGCGAACGGGUGAGUAACACGUGGGUGAUCUGCCCUGCACUUCGGGAUAAGCUUGGGAAACUGGGUCUAAUACCGGAUAGGAGCCAUCUUUAGUGUGGUGGUUGGAAAGUUUUUUCGGUGUAGGAUGAGCUCGCGGCCUAUCAGCUUGUUGGUGGGGUAAUGGCCUACCAAGGCGGCGACGGGUAGCCGGCCUGAGAGGGUGUACGGCCACAUUGGGGCUGAGAUACGGCCCAGACUCCUACGGGAGGCAGCAGUGGGGAAUAUUGCACAAUGGGCGCAAGCCUGAUGCAGCGACGCCGCGUGGGGGAUGAAGGCCUUCGGGUUGUAAACUCCUUUCGCUAGGGACGAAGCUUUUUUGUGACGGUACCUAGAUAAGAAGCACCGGCUAACUACGUG
Molecule: ribosomal RNA, 466 nt
Filed under: uncultured bacterium
Lineage: Bacteria
Description: partial 16S ribosomal RNA
Rfam family: Bacterial small subunit ribosomal RNA
Source: RNAcentral